GGGCCCGCACAAGCGGUGGAGUAUGUGGUUUAAUUCGAUGCAACGCGAAGAACCUUACCAGGGUUUGACAUCCUGCGAAUCUCUUGGAAACAGGAGAGUGCCUUCGGGAACGCAGUGACAGGUGGUGCAUGGCUGUCGUCAGCUCGUGUCGUGAGAUGUUGGGUUAAGUCCCGCAACGAGCGCAACCCACGUCUUUAGUUGCCAGCAUUUAGUUGGGCACUCUAGAGAGACUGCCGGUGACAAGCCGGAGGAAGGUGGGGAUGACGUCAAGUCCUCAUGGCCCUUACGGGCUGGGCUACACACGUGCUACAAUGGCGGUGACAGUGGGCUGCGAAUCAGCAAUGAUGAGCUAAUCCCUAAAAGCCGUCUCAGUUCGGAUUGUCCUCUGCAACUCGAGGGCAUGAAGUUGGAAUCGCUAGUAAUCG
Molecule: ribosomal RNA, 425 nt
Filed under: uncultured bacterium
Lineage: Bacteria
Description: bacterial SSU rRNA
Rfam family: Bacterial small subunit ribosomal RNA
Source: RNAcentral